GACGAACGCUGGCGGCGUGCUUAACACAUGCAAGUCGAACGAUGAUGCCCAGCUUGCUGGGUGGAUUAGUGGCGAACGGGUGAGUAACACGUGAGUAACCUGCCCCUGACUCUGGGAUAAGCGUUGGAAACGACGUCUAAUACUGGAUAUGACUGCCGGCCGCAUGGUCUGGUGGUGGAAAGAUUUUUGGGUUGGGGAUGGACUCGCGGCCUAUCAGUGUGUUGGUGAGGUAAUGGCUCACCAAGGCGACGACGGGUAGCCGGCCUGAGAGGGUGACCGGCCACACUGGGACUGGGAGACGGCCCAGACUCCUACGGGAGGCAGCAGUGGGGAAUAUUGCACAAUGGGCGAAAGCCUGAUGCAGCAACGCCGCGUGAGGGAUGACGGCCUUCGGGUUGUAAACCUCUUUUAGUAGGGAAGAAGCGAAAGUGACGGUACCUGCAGAAAAAGCACCGGCUAACUACGUGCCAGCCGCCGCGGUAA
Molecule: ribosomal RNA, 483 nt
Filed under: uncultured bacterium
Lineage: Bacteria
Description: partial 16S ribosomal RNA
Rfam family: Bacterial small subunit ribosomal RNA
Source: RNAcentral